UGUCUUAACGGCUCUCGGGGGCGGGUUUCUCGGGUCUCGGAUCGGUGGAGGACCGAGGAGAAUGCGGUUCUUAGGGUGGAUUGCAGGGUCCCGGGGGCCCUCGGGUCUUUGAACGCAAGUUGGGCCCGAAGCCUUUAGGCCGGGGGGCCGCUUCCUUGGCCUCCCCCCU
RNAcentral lists this ribosomal RNA (169 nucleotides) under Rubus corchorifolius. RNAcentral's name for it is "5.8S ribosomal RNA". The record is from RNAcentral. Lineage: Eukaryota; Viridiplantae; Streptophyta; Magnoliopsida; Rosales; Rosaceae.